GACGAACGCUGGCGGCGUGCUUAACACAUGCAAGUCGAACGGUGAAGCGCCUUCCUUUUUGGUGGGUGUGGAUGGGUGGCGAACGGGUGAGUAACACGUGAGUAACCUGCCCCCUUCUUCUGGAUAACCGCAUGAAAGUGUGGCUAAUACGGGAUAUUCUGGGUCUGUCGCAUGAUGGGUCUGGGAAAGAUAUUGUUUCGGUGGGGGAUGGGCUCGCGGCCUAUCAGCUUGUUGGUGGGGUGAUGGCCUACCAAGGCGGUGACGGGUAGCCGGCCUGAGAGGGUGGACGGUCACACUGGGACUGAGACACGGCCCAGACUCCUACGGGAGGCAGCAGUGGGGAAUAUUGCACAAUGGGCGCAAGCCUGAUGCAGCGACGCCGCGUGAGGGAUGGAGGCCUUCGGGUUGUGAACCUCUUUCGCCAGUGAAGCAGGCCUGCCUCGUUUGUGGGUGGGUUGACGGUAGCUGGAGAAGAAGCGCCGGCUAACUACGUG
This 494-nucleotide ribosomal RNA is filed under the name uncultured bacterium. RNAcentral describes it as "partial 16S ribosomal RNA". It matches the Rfam family "Bacterial small subunit ribosomal RNA", at positions 28 to 507 of the family's 1533-position model. The record is from RNAcentral.